UAGGGAAUCUUCCGCAAUGGACGAAAGUCUGACGGAGCAACGCCGCGUGAACGAAGAAGGCCUUCGGGUCGUAAAGUUCUCUUGUUAGGGAAGAACAAGUACCAGAGUAACUGCUGGUACCUUGACGGUACCUAACCAGAAAGCCACGGCUAACUACGUGCCAGCAGCCGCGGUAAUACGUAGGUGGCAAGCGUUGUCCGGAAUUAUUGGGCGUAAAGCGCGCGCAGGUGGUUCCUUAAGUCUGAUGUGAAAGCCCACGGCUCAACCGUGGAGGGUCAUUGGAAACUGGGGAACUUGAGUGCAGAAGAGGAAAGUGGAAUUCCAAGUGUAGCGGUGAAAUGCGUAGAGAUUUGGAGGAACACCAGUGGCGAAGGCGACUUUCUGGUCUGUAACUGACACUGAGGCGCGAAAGCGUGGGGAGCAAACA
This 427-nucleotide ribosomal RNA is filed under the name uncultured Bacillus sp. Its description in RNAcentral is "bacterial SSU rRNA". It matches the Rfam family "Bacterial small subunit ribosomal RNA", at positions 355 to 774 of the family's 1533-position model. The record is from RNAcentral. Lineage: Bacteria; Bacillati; Bacillota; Bacilli; Caryophanales; Bacillaceae.